Molecule: long non-coding RNA, 11188 nt
Organism: Anolis carolinensis (green anole)
Lineage: Eukaryota; Metazoa; Chordata; Lepidosauria; Squamata; Anolidae
Exons: 2
Source: RefSeq, a predicted model, not a curated record
CAAUCACACAGCUCACCAACUGUCUGUUGUUCUUACCAUGUCUAAAACUAGAGAAAGAGAAAUAAAGAAGAUAGUGUACUUUCAACUACCAAAUUUGUUUUGUGAGAGGCUUGCCUCUGACAAAAUAAGGGCACAGAUUAUAUGCCCAAUGUAAACAUGAUAAAUAGAAGCUGGAAAACAUUAUUUGUGGAAUAUUUACACAUUUAGCAUACCCUUUAAAUUUUGUCCCCAGGUAAUAUACAUGCUGUAUUAGAAUACAAAGCACAUUGGGUACUGGGCUGAUAUGUUUAACAUUUCACAUAUAGUGGCAAAGACCUCAGAUUAAAUGAGAGAACAGAUGGAUCAAAUGACAGAUAGGUAAGAUGUUCUCGAUCAGAUUGCAAUCUCCUCAAAAGGGAGGAAAGGAUUUUUAAUUUAUGUGAUAAUUAUAAAUAUGAUUUCCCCCACACACAAUCUGAAGUGAUGCAAUACAUUACAUGAUCUCAGCAGUCUGAUAGCAACUAUGUAUUAGGAGGCAUUUCCAAAAAUGCAUGAAGGCAGCUCCUGACAGAGCACACGGUAGUAGUCCAAACAGGAUGUAACUUUGGGUGGCUCUAUGCCAGUGGUUCUCAACCUGUGAGUCCUCAGGUGUUUUAGCCUAUAACUCCCAGAAAUCCCAACCACUUUACCAGCUGUUAGGAUUUCUGGUAAUUGAAGGCCAAAACAUCUGGGGACCCAUAGGUUGACCCUUACCACCACCAUCACCACCACCAUGGUUCUCAUCAUCAUGCCAGCCAGCUGGUGCAUCAUGACUAAUGUUAGUUGGCUGUUUGACACCUGAAGUGACAUCAGUCAGAGUGAGGCAGGAAGAGGACAAAUCACAUCCAAUCUUUCACUCCUCUGAUUGCCUUAUUGCUCAGGUUAGUGUCACUUCAGGUGAUGAGUAAAGGACACAACCCAUGUUGCAUCUGCUGUCCACCAGGAAGAUAAGAACAGAAAGGGACUGUAAGUGCCUUCUCAUGACCCUUGGUGGCCUGAGUGCCAAGAAGUAUGUGAUGGCCAUGUUGAGGAACCAGUAUUAUUCCAUGCAUUAUUUAGCCAUCAUGGAGUGGAUUCGCCUGCCCUUCGGAAUAACUGGUUAAUAUAGAUAUGCCCUAAGCAUGUAUCACAUACAGCAUCUUCAGGAGUGGAUGCAAUUAAAGCAGUAGCCUAAAUUGUGCAAACAUCAUUCUGGCCACUAUCAACAGCUGGGCGUCCAGGCCUGUCACCAGUGACCACUAGUCCUAAAUCCCAUUGCUAGUCCAAACUAGAGUAGAUCUGAAUCAAUUAAAUGUAUGUAAGUGUUGAUUUAUUAAGUUCCCAUUUAUCUGAUUGUUCAUCUUCUUCUUCUUCAAUCACUCAGUUUUUCCGACUCUUCGUGACCUCAUGGACCAGUCCACACCAGAGCUUCCUGUUGGCCGUCGCCGCCCCCAGCUCCUUUCAGGUCAAGCCAGUCACUUCAAGGAUACCAUCCAUCCAUCUCCCCCUUGGUCGGCCUCUCUUCCUUUUUCCUUCCAUUUCCCCCAGCAUCAUGAUCUUUUCCAAGCUUUUCUGUCUUCUCAUGAUGUGGCCAAAAUACUUCAUCUUUGCCUCUAAUAUCCUUCCCUCCAGUGAGCAGCCGGGGACUAUUCUCUGGAGGAUGGACUGGUUUGAUCUCCUUGGGAUCCAAGGCACUCUCAGGAUUUUCCUCCAGCACCAAAGUUCAAAAGUAUAUAUCUUCCCUCGAUCAGCCUUCCUUAUGGUCCAUCUCUCGCAUCCAUAGGUUACUAUGGGGAAUACCAUUGCUUUAACUAUGCGGACCUUCGUUGCCAGUGUGAUGUCUCUGCUUUUCACUAUUUUAUCGAGGUUGGCCAUUGCUCUCCUCCCAAGAAGUAGAUGUCUUCUGAAUUCCUGGCUGGAGUCUGCGUCUGCAGUGAUCUUCACGUCUAGAAAUAUAAAGUCUGUCACUGCCUCCACGUUUUCUCCCUCUAUUUGCCAGUCUGGUUGCCAUAAUCUUGGUUUUCUGAUUGUUCUACUCUAGUUGAAAUUAGCAAUUGAAUUUAUACCCAAGAAGAGUCUGACCCCAGCAGAAUAAACUCUCAACCCCUGAUCUGGUUUUCAGAUUACCAAGAACACUUCUGACUUUCUCAGUCUCUAUUUGUUUGCCCUCUUCAAGUCUGUUAAAAUUAUCACACACUGAUUUAUAACUGAAAGGGCUUUCUGGAUCUAGAUGGAAAAGCCAGAGUUUGUGUCACUGGAUUGCUGUAUGCACAGAACCCCAACAUGCCAAACUCUAUUUCCCAGCAGUUUAAUGUAAUUGUUAAAUAACAAGAUACAGACCGAGGGACAUCAGAGACCAAUAGCCACAGAGUUAAACAAAUAGCACCCACUACACUAGUCAUCCCAUAAAGAUUGGGCCCACAAUGAAACAACUGCUCCAAGUCACAUUCCAGAUGGACAGUUCACAAGACUACCGUGAUCCUCCAUGGUCCCUUAUCCAGUUUCUAGCACAGAACAUUGAACAAAGUGGCGUUAUCUGUCACUCUUCUAUAACCAGACAUGAAGCCAGAUUGUAAUGGAUAGAGAUAAUUCAUUUCAUCCAGGAACUAUUACAAAUGAGACAACAAUAAACAGCAAGCACCUUGUCAAUCAUUGGAAAAAACAGCUGCAUACUCAAAUCUAAAAUGCUCUUCCAGUCUUGACUGACAACCAGUGCCACUUCUUUUCUGACCAUUUUCUCCUUGGCUAUCAUUUUCCUCUAAAAGUUUUGUUUGCACCUUCUCUUUUUCUUUCACUUUAUAUAUACAAUACACUGAAAUGUGAUCCAUCAAUACAAGGAUAAAUAGCAACAAAGAAAUGGCUGCUUGGUUUUUAUUCAUGCUCCUCUCUUUCACCUAUUGCAGAAAUUUUGUUCCAGUCAAUGGGAUAACACUCCUGAGCUACUGAAACAAUAUACAAUGUGUUGUGAUUGGAGUUUUCUGGGGCUUUGUGUGUGACUCACCCAAGGUCACCCAGUGGGUUUCUAUGGCUGAGCAGUGAAUUAUCCCAGUUUCCAGAAUCAUAGCUCAGUGCUCAAACAACAAUACCACACUGGCACUCAAUGUGUCAUAUAACAUGAGCUUUUUUCCUUGGAUAAAAUAUCAUGUUUCCGAGAACAUGAUAGCAGGUAUGUUGUAGUCAAUCUUAUUCAUUGAAUAAUUUCUAGGAAGUGGACGUAAAUCAAACCUACUCCUAGAUGACCAAGUUCUAAGCUGAAACAUGUACAGAGGCAUAUUAUUCUAUUUUACCAUUGUGAUGAUGUAGCUGUGCUUACUGAGUUGCAGCAAGAAGGUAGUUUAUUCCUGAAAUAAUUGCAUUGUAUUAUGACUUUGCAUGUUUGAGAUAUAAGCACUUUUUCGUGUCAGGAGAAACUUGAGAAACUGCAAGUCGCUUCUGGUGUGAGAGAACUGGCAGUCUGCAAGGACAUUGCUCAGGGGAUGCCCGGAUGUUUGAUGUUUUACCCUCCUUGUGGGAGGCUUCUCUCAUGUCCCUGCAUGGGGAGCUGGAGCUGACAGAGGGAGCUCACCCGCUCUCCUGAGAUUCAAACCACUGACCUGUCAGUCAGCAGUCCUGCCGGCACAAAGGUUUAAUGUAUUGUGCCACUGGGGGCUUGAUAUAAGCACUGGAAAAGUGGAAAGCAGUAGAAAAAGAAGGAGACCACAUUACAAGUGGAUUGACUCAGUCUGAGUUUGCAUGACUCAAUCUCUUGAAAGUCUCCCAUUCAGAGAGCUAAUAUAUAUUAAAGUCGAUUUGAUGGCAAGUAAUAAUAACAAACUAAUUCCUCAAAAGAAGAAAGGGAAGGAAGAGAAGAGAAAGAAAUGUAGAAGGCUACCCUGUUUCCCCUAAAAUAAAAUAUCCCCAGAAAAUAAGACCUAAUAGAGGUUUUGCUGAAUUGCUCAAUAUAAGGCCUCCCCCAAAAGUGAGACCUAGCAAAGUUUUUGUUUUGAAGCAUGCCCAACAAACAGAACACCAGAGCAUGCAGGAUUGGUAAAUGUACCUACCAUAGAGUAUUGUACAUGGAAAUAAUGGCAGUAACAAGAAAUUCUUGAUAGGAUUCACAGUUUGUCUGGUUAUGGUGGUUUGUGAUGACAACUACUGUACAGUAUAUAAUAAAUGUUCAUUUUUUUGUUCAACAAUAAAUGUGAAUUCUUCUUCAUGGAAAAAUAAGACAUCCCCUGAAAAUAAGACCUAGAGCAUCUUUGAGAGCAAAAAUUAAGAUAAGAAACUGUCUUAUUUUUGGGAAAACACGGUAGCUAGAAAGCAUGGGCUUUCAUAGAUAAAAUAGUGAAUUAAGUCCCUUCCAACUGAAUAGGUUUUACUUUGUGUCGUCAGCCAUUUAAAAUCCCACCCAAUCCAAAGUCAUGAGCCACUAAAAUGGAAUCAAGAUAUACAUCAGACCAAAACCAGGGCAGGGAACAGAAGAAGCAGCAUGUGGAAAUGGAGAAUCACCUUAAAAUUUCAUCAUACGGGUAUGCCCCCUAGACAGUAUUAUACAUUAACCAAAAACAUGGACUUUUCUGUUUGACUGUUUACUUUUUUGGAAAGGCAACAUCAAAGAAAACUCUUGCAAUAUACUGUGUUGAUUAUUCUCCCCCUUCCUAAUAAACCUACAUAACUGAGCAAGGUCAAAUAAGUACACAGAAACAAGUACACUGGCUACAAAGGGGGAAAUAUAGAUGGAAAAGGAUAAUAAAAAAGCAAGAAAACCGAACUUCUGUCUUUAAAUGAAGACAAAUAAUGUGAAUGAAUAACCUCAAAUGGCCAGAUUAAUAUACUGAAGCUUUUUACUCAUAUAUAGAAACACUGGAAGUUUAUACUGCUGCACAUGUGUGUAUUAUUAACAUUUAAAGCAGGACAAUUCAUGUGCUGUUUUCACAAAGGAAAUAUAGUAGUUAUUUAAAGAAACAAAAAUGCAUUAAUUCUUCUAUAGUAAUUAAUUAUAUAUGCAAUUAAUAUAUUAACUAAUGAAUUAACAAUAUUUUACUUCAUUAAUGUGAUGUUCCUUUAAGUCACCUGACAAUGUGUGGUGACUCUGUGAUCGAGGUGACCUCCCCUCCAGGACUUUGUAAAAGAUAGUUCAAAAAUCAAGACUUUAUGUUCUAUAUUCCAUAUAUUUAUAGUAGAAGGUGAUUGGGACUUUUUACUGGAGUUUACUGUGGAUUAUCCCUGCACUCUGAGGCAAGAGAUAACAACUUCAUGGAUUGUGAAAUCAUGUUGCUUGAACCCCACUUCUAUGUUGAAUUCCCCAGAUGUUGUGAACUUCGUUCUGAUCAAAUGUUUCCUAUUACUUAUAUCGAUUGUUUAUAUCAUUCAUGAUUCCCCUUUAUGCAAUGUCACCCACCUUUAUGGAUUCUCCUUUAUUUUCUUGAAAUGUACCUAUCUGCCUAUAUGUAUUUAUACUCUUUGGGAUCCCCGGAAAAUAUGUGUUUUUCCUAGCUGGGUUUAUAUUCCAACUUUAUUUUUAAUUUUCAUUUUAUCCCGUAUAAUUGGCAGAUCAUGAAAUCAAAUGGGAAAUAUUAUGACCCCAACCUGAACUCUAGCCCCAUGACUCAGACCUCCCUUCCCAAAAACAAAAGGAUAAUCUGCCACAGUUUAAUCCCCUCUCAUUCCGACCGCAUGGACAAUAUAGGGCGAGUCACCAAACUCCUAAAGGUGACUCGCCCCCAAGGCAAACAUUGUCACAUCUCAGGCCAGGACGCCGCAGGAAGGCACCCUGUGGGGCCGUCAAUGAUGGCUCAUCACCACCCACUUCCCGUCUGACACCCCAAAGACAUAUCUAAAAUCUGUGAACGUGACAGGACCCCGGACAUCCUUGAUGGGUGUCAUUAAUUCCUUUAGAAAUCGGCUGGGCCAGAAUUAAUCAGAUAUUUCCUGUCCGGUCACCUCUUUGUCUCAAUAGCUCCCGCCUCCUCCUCUCUGAUUGGCCCGAAUAGGGACAAUAAGCGGCUCCCCAUUGGGCCAGCAGAGCAAGGCGGGAAACGAAAGCCCGCCUCAUUCAACCUCUCAGCCUAUCCGCGAUCAGAUGGGCAGGGAAGCGGGGCGGGAAAUUCAAAGGGCUGUCAGACCAAAACAUUGUAUAAAUAUGGCUUUAUUUGAAACAUAUGUUACGCUAGUAGAUUGAAUGAUCACUAUUAGCGUCCUUUUCAGCUGAAUUGCUCAAUAAAACUCCUUGGCGGAUUUUCCUUCAACGUGGCGGACCUUCUUCAUUUCAGGCUUCAGGUUGUAUUGCGGCUUAUAUUCUUCUUUUGGCUUCGCCAAGGUCCGUUCCCUCAGGACCGGAUCGGCUUCCUUCUAAAGGGGCCCGAUCCCCCAAACGCGGUCGACAACAUAAUUUGGCUUUACCACGAAGGGACUUGCUUGGAAGUUCCAAAGAUCCAUUUUUUUAGGCUAAAAUUCCAAGCGGCGACCUUGGUCCAGAUAUUCUGGGACAGGUUGGGGAGAGAAACGGCUGCAAGGAGGGCCCUCCGACCAACAAUUUGACCUCAUUUCACAUCCAAAUUUCUCUGGCAGUCCCUUUCUCUCUCUAGAUCUGAUUCAGGGUACUGAACAAAGGAGCCAGAUAGGAGGAAGCAGAUUUUUAGCUCCUCGAAGGAAAGGCGCCAACGUGAAACAGGGGACGCCCUGUAAAAAUAAAAGGGAACCGGCCCCGUUGUUGAGACCCAGGUGGGAGGAGUCCUGGAGGUAUUGCACUUCGGAUCAGGGCUCGGUAACAAAUUCCUGGUGAAACGCGGGAAAAUCUGGCACCCGGGGGGCGUGUGAGAACAGUCUGGCUUGUAAGAUUACAGGUUCAAGAAUCGCGGGGUAGGGGAACAGUUGUGUUCCCGGGGCACCUGCGGAUUCCACGAACGCCAGCCAUCCAGUCUUGGUGAAGGGAACUCUCGGUAGGACGAGCUGACCUGGCCGGUUGGGUGAGUCGUUACUCCGUUAACUGUCAGGUACUGGGCAGGGGUUGAGCCAAGAAUGGGUGUUUGUUCAAGCACGUCUAGGGUGUCCCACCCCAGCAGACAUCCCCAGGGAUUCUCCUUUGGGCAAGAUCCUGGCCAAUUGGGGUGGGCUUUGCAUCAAAAAACAUGGUGCAGGCCAGGUUGGGCUAACUCAGAGCACAUAAGUGGCCCCUUGUGGCCCUUGAAGGGGGAACAGCUUGCCCCCCGUUUGAGUCACCGAAUUCGGAGUGUUGACCUAAGGUGACUCACCAUGGGGAGGGCAAGUGGUCCCAACUUGCUUAUGCUGCAAUGUUCAUGGCCCUAAGCCAGGGAGAGAAUCGGAGGGGGGGAGGGGGGCCCACGUCUUCCCAUGCAGAGAUUUGGGCUCCAAAAACAGCCCUCCAAAGAUUCCCCCCUAGACCCUUUUCCCCUUACCCCCUCCUCCAGAGGAUUUUCUGGACACAUUUGCUUGCCUUCUCCCCACCCCAUCAGCCCCCUCCUCCAAUCCCCAUCCCCACCUUUUCUCCUCACCCUGAGUCCUACACUGAUCCAGGACUCCCAAAUUGGCCUUCCAAGGGAACCCUUACUUCAGGGAUCCCCCCCCCAAGAAAUUCCCCUCCAGAGAGUUCAGCCCAGUCUAACGUGAAGGAGGGCUCCCAGCCCCCUCCCCUCUCACCCCGAAACACACCUGAUCCAAAACACUGUUCACACUCUCUCAGCCCCCAUCCCAGCCGUUCCUUUGAAGCCUGAUGCCCCCCCCCCAAAUUGUAUCUGCCCCUGCCACUCAACUCCUGCCACAUUCUGAGUUUUCCUUAGAUGGGAAGAAUCGCCCCACCAUCCCCCUCCUUCUCUUGCCCCCACCAGGCUCUCUCUCUCUCUCUCUCUCUCUCUCUCUCUCUCUCUCUCUCUCUCUCUGCGCUCAUUCCUCUCUUGGAGAGACAGGAGAAGGAGGGGCCGCGGGGAGAUUGUGCAAAGAGGACACUUUUUUCCUCUUCCUGUUUUUGGAGGGGCAAAGGGGGGAGAAGAUUCAGUCCUGAAGCCUGCCACCAAGAUCUAUAGUUCUCCAAGGAUUGCUUCCUUCUUUCAAAUCAAAUCUUCUCCAACUUGAUAUUCUGCCUUGCCUACCCUCAAAUUGUACCCUUUUUUUCUUUUCUCUCUCUCUCUUCCCCGGCCUGAGUGAAAGUCUCUCUCUCUCCCUCAAAUCUCAAAUCCAUUUCUCCUCUCCUUCCUCUCUUCUCACCUUUUAAAAUCCCUUAUUUCCCUUUGUUCCCAUUUUCUAGACACUAUCCCUAAGAUUUUACCUCAGUGUUGUCUUAUAUUUCCUUUGGUCCUUACAAAAGGGGGGAGGGGGGCCAUUCCUUUAGCCGCUUCUGUUUCUUAAUUUCCCCUUUUUCUUUCUUUCCCAUCUGGGAAGCAUGGCAAAGGAUUUGGGUGGGGGAAGGGGACUCCCAGAAAAGUGUUGAUUAAAUUUUGUGUGUUUAUGUAAUGUGUGGGCUGUAAACUCUUCUCUACUCACCCCUUUGCCUUAAAAGCCACCAGUGAUAUAUAGUUUUCUGGGAAGGAGGGCUGGAAUGGACUAGCUUAGUGCUAUGCUCUCUCUCUCUCCCUUUUCUUCUGUGCCAUCUCACCUCCCUAUUUUCAAAGGUUCAAGCCCUAAUAUUUUGUGAGACCCCCCCCCCCAGAGAAAACCUGCUGCUUCUGUGGUUUUAACUUUUUCUUGUCUCUCUCUCCUCAAGCCUCCCUUAUCUUAGAGAGAAAAGGGGGGGGAUGGAAGAAUUGAUGUAUUUUUCUAUAUGUGAGUUUUUUUCUCUCUCUCUCUCUCUCUUCCACUUCAUGUUUUCCUAGGCCGAAAUGCACUUCAACAUUCUCCUUUUUCAAAGCUCCCCCCCCCCUUCCUUCCCAGCAUCCCCAUUUCUCCUUAUAAACAUUCAGUCAAAAUCCUGGUUUACUUUUAUAGUGAAGGCACUCUUUCACUCUCCACAGUUCCCCAACAAUCUCCUUUCUUCCUUUCGGGUCCUUCUCCCUCCCUUUCCCUGAGUGCAUGCGUGUGAAUGUUUUAAAAAAAUCCCUCUAACUGCCUUUAAUUAUGAGGAGGGCAUUAGAGUCCAGGGGACCUUCCAGGCACAGCUGAAGAGAUCCAGAGGACCGGACCCAACCACCUGACUGAGGACAUCAGACCAGACUGCAAGACCCAUAAUCCAUACCUGCCACCAUGAACAGUUCUAAGACCUGGGUAGGGGCUCUCGGAGUGCGCUGUGGAUUUCAUGCAGCAGCUAGAACCCAGAGGCCAUUGGAGAUGGUCCUGUGAGGGCUUUUAUGGCCAGACCACCGUAUGGUGCCCUCCAGCUGGCCUGGUUCUGCCCUGGCAAAGGGCUACUGAGUGCAGGUCUGCCUUUGACGCUGCCAAGGAGGCCCUCAUGACAUCACCAGGGGACAGAAUUGGCCGCCAUGGCAGAAGAUGUCCCAGAAGAAAUGAACAGGAUUCUACCAGUGACCACCAUGAGGGAAGGAUGUUCCACUUUCACCAGAGCUGUGCCAAAGAAGGACCCCAGGACUGCUGGAGCCCUCACAAGGUAUGAGUGACUUCCCUGACUAACCCCACCACGGGAGGGAGGGGGGGCUUAUAAUCUGUCCUUAGUUUCCCUAGGCACUCUCUCCUUUCCGUCUCCUCUGUUGGAGUGCUGGACCUGCCUGCAGUCACCAGGAGGCGCCGUGCUGUGAGGCGCAGAAGCUGUGCCCAGUUGCCCCCAGCUGCCAACUACAAAGGGGGGGCCCAAGCUGCAGCCAAGAAAAGGCAGCCAAAUGGGAGUACUGCAUCACAGCCUCCAUCAUCCCCAGCCCUCACCACCUCCACCUUCAUGCUCCAUUUCCCAUGACUCCAGACCAAGGGACAUCUGUUUCAACACCAUGGGAUCACCCACCACUGACUGAACCUCAGCUUUCACCUCUUCAAGCUCCUGCCCUCCAACAAAAAGGCACAAUCUGAUCUACCAAGGCAGAGGCCCUGCAUGCAGUGAAAUGUCGGGGCUUUGGGAAAUGUUCAUAGCCAUUUCCAAGCCCCGAAGGGGGGAAAAUGUGAUCGAGGUGACCUCCCCUCCAGGACUUUGUAAAAGAUAGUUCAAAAAUCAAGACUUUAUGUUCUAUAUUCCAUAUAUUUAUAGUAGAAGGUGAUUGGGACUUUUUACUGGAGUUUACUGUGGAUUAUCCCUGCACUCUGAGGCAAGAGAUAACAACUUCAUGGAUUGUGAAAUCAUGUUGCUUGAACCCCACUUCUAUGUUGAAUUCCCCAGAUGUUGUGAACUUCGUUCUGAUCAAAUGUUUCCUAUUACUUAUAUCGAUUGUUUAUAUCAUUCAUGAUUCCCCUUUAUGCAAUGUCACCCACCUUUAUGGAUUCUCCUUUAUUUUCUUGAAAUGUACCUAUCUGCCUAUAUGUAUUUAUACUCUUUGGGAUCCCCGGAAAAUAUGUGUUUUUCCUAGCUGGGUUUAUAUUCCAACUUUAUUUUUAAUUUUCAUUUUAUCCCGUAUAAUUGGCAGAUCAUGAAAUCAAAUGGGAAAUAUUAUGACCCCAACCUGAACUCUAGCCCCAUGACUCAGACCUCCCUUCCCAAAAACAAAAGGAUAAUCUGCCACAGUUUAAUCCCCUCUCAUUCCGACCGCAUGGACAAUAUAGGGCGAGUCACCAAACUCCUAAAGGUGACUCGCCCCCAAGGCAAACAUUGUCACAUCUCAGGCCAGGACGCCGCAGGAAGGCACCCUGUGGGGCCGUCAAUGAUGGCUCAUCACCACCCACUUCCCGUCUGACACCCCAAAGACAUAUCUAAAAUCUGUGAACGUGACAGGACCCCGGACAUCCUUGAUGGGUGUCAUUAAUUCCUUUAGAAAUCGGCUGGGCCAGAAUUAAUCAGAUAUUUCCUGUCCGGUCACCUCUUUGUCUCAAUAGCUCCCGCCUCCUCCUCUCUGAUUGGCCCGAAUAGGGACAAUAAGCGGCUCCCCAUUGGGCCAGCAGAGCAAGGCGGGAAACGAAAGCCCGCCUCAUUCAACCUCUCAGCCUAUCCGCGAUCAGAUGGGCAGGGAAGCGGGGCGGGAAAUUCAAAGGGCUGUCAGACCAAAACAUUGUAUAAAUAUGGCUUUAUUUGAAACAUAUGUUACGCUAGUAGAUUGAAUGAUCACUAUUAGCGUCCUUUUCAGCUGAAUUGCUCAAUAAAACUCCUUGGCGGAUUUUCCUUCAA